RNAcentral lists this ribosomal RNA (271 nucleotides) under uncultured eukaryote. RNAcentral describes it as "partial 18S ribosomal RNA". It matches the Rfam family "Eukaryotic small subunit ribosomal RNA", at positions 6 to 286 of the family's 1831-position model. The record is from RNAcentral.
GGUUGAUCCUGCCAGUAGUCAUAUGCUUGUCUUAAAGACUAAGCCAUGCAUGUCUAAGUAUAAAUAUUAUACAGUGAAACUGCGAAUGGCUCAUUAAAACAGUUAUAGUUUAUUCGAUAAUUUCUCCUACAUGGAUAACCGUAGUAAUUCUAGAGCUAAUACAUGCUGUCAAACCUGACUUUUUGGAAGGGUUGUAUUUAUUAGAUAUCCCCUUUGCAACUGGCUGGCUAGCUUGGGUAGUUGCUAGAUGGUUGAGUACAUCUUUUUGUUG